Molecule: ribosomal RNA, 482 nt
Filed under: uncultured bacterium
Lineage: Bacteria
Description: partial 16S ribosomal RNA
Rfam family: Bacterial small subunit ribosomal RNA
Source: RNAcentral
ACGAACGCUGGCGGCGUGCUUAACCCAUGCCAGUCGAACGCUGAAGCUCAGCUUUUGUUGGGUGGAUGAGUGGCGAACGGGUGAGUAACACGUGAGUAACCUGCCUCCUUCUUUGGGAUAACGCCCGGAAACGGGUGCUAAUACUGGAUAUUCACUGGUCUUCGCAUGGGGGUUGGUGGAAAGGGUUUUUCUGGUGGGGGAUGGGCUCGCGGCCUAUCAGCUUGUUGGUGGGGUGAUGGCCUACCAAGGCUUUGACGGGUAGCCGGCCUGAGAGGGUGACCGGUCACAGUGGGACUGAGAUACGGCCCAGACUCCUACGGGAGGCAGCAGUGGGGAAUAUUGCACAAUGGGCGCAAGCCUGAUGCAGCGACGCCGCGUGAGGGAUGGAGGCCUUCGGGUUGUGAACCUCUUUCGCUCAUGGUCAAGCCGCAACAAUGGUUGUGGUGAGGGUAGUGGGUAAAGAAGCGCCGGCUAACUACGUG